Molecule: ribosomal RNA, 253 nt
Filed under: uncultured bacterium
Lineage: Bacteria
Description: partial 16S ribosomal RNA
Rfam family: Bacterial small subunit ribosomal RNA
Source: RNAcentral
GACGAAGCGUGCGAACGUUGUUCGGAAUCACUGGGCUUAAAGGGCGCGUAGGCGGUCUGGCAAGUCAGGGGUGAAAUCCCACGGCUCAACCGUGGAAGUGCCUUUGAUACUGCUGGUCUUGAGGGAGGUAGGGGCGUGCGGAACUUCCGGUGGAGCGGUGAAAUGCGUAGAUAUCGGAAGGAACACCGGUGGCGAAAGCGGCGCGCUGGACCUCUACUGACGCUGAGGCGCGAAAGCCAGGGGAGCAAACGGG